This 397-nucleotide transfer-messenger RNA is filed under the name Bacteroidaceae. RNAcentral describes it as "Prevotella sp017642485 Standard tmRNA". It matches the Rfam family "transfer-messenger RNA". From Rfam's summary of the family: Bacterial tmRNA, also known as 10Sa RNA or SsrA, is named for its dual tRNA and mRNA-like properties. Its role is to liberate the mRNA from a stalled ribosome. Lineage: Bacteria; Pseudomonadati; Bacteroidota; Bacteroidia; Bacteroidales. RNAcentral also lists the same sequence under 1 other name. The record is from RNAcentral.
GGGGUUGACUGGAUUUGACAGCGGACUGGGAUGGUGAGUAAGCAUGCGGAGCGAUGACUGUGGGCUCCAUAAUCACGUCGGUCAACAAUUUAAUUGGCGAAAACAACUACGCUCUCGCUGCUUAAUCGAAGUAUAGUAGAUUAGCUUCAUUUCCUGCAAGGCAGGAAACGGGACAUCGCUCAGAGCCCUCUCCCUGAGGCUUACUGGUCAAAGCGGUGCAGAAAUAUCGGGGGUAGCAGCGGCAGAGCCUCGAUGCCACUGCGAAAUCUUAGAGGAUAAGGUUGUGAUUGGUGGUUUGGGUCUUGUCACAACACGAAAAACAAAGUCCAAAAUAAGCAUGUAGAAAGCUCACGGUUUCACCGUUUGGACGAGGGUUCGAAUCCCUCCAGCUCCACAA